CUAGAGUUUGAUCCUGGCUCAGGACGAACGCUGGCGGCGUGCUUAACACAUGCAAGUCGAACGGUGAUCUGGGUGCUUGCACCUGGUGAUCAGUGGCGAACGGGUGAGUAACACGUGAGUAACCUGCCCUUCACUCUGGGAUAACUCCGGGAAACCGGGGCUAAUACUGGAUAUGACAUCAACCCGCAUGGGUAUGGUGUGGAAAGUUUUUCGGUGGGGGAUGGACUCGCGGCCUAUCAGCUUGUUGGUGAGGUAGUGGCUCACCAAGGCGACGACGGGUAGCCGGCCUGAGAGGAUGAUCAGCCUCACUGGGACUGAGACACGGCCCAGACUCCUACGGGAGGCAGCAGUGGGGAAUAUUGGACAAUGGGCGCAAGCCUGAUCCAGCCAUGCCGCGUGGAUGAUGAAGGCCCUAGGGUUGUAAAGUCCUUUCGGCGGGGAAGAUAAUGACGGUACCCGGCCCAAUCGCC
This 470-nucleotide ribosomal RNA is filed under the name uncultured bacterium. RNAcentral describes it as "bacterial SSU rRNA". It matches the Rfam family "Bacterial small subunit ribosomal RNA", at positions 1 to 492 of the family's 1533-position model. The record is from RNAcentral.